This 113-nucleotide ribosomal RNA is filed under the name Acanthosepion pharaonis. Lineage: Eukaryota; Metazoa; Mollusca; Cephalopoda; Sepiida; Sepiidae. The record is from RNAcentral.
UGCAGCCACAUUAUGUUGAAACACCGAUUCCCGUAUGAUCACCGAAGUUAAGCAACGUUGAGCCUGAUCAGUACCUAGAUAGGUUGCCGCUUGGGAAUACCAGGUGCUGUAAG